UGCUCUGGCUGACGAGUGGCGCACGGGUGAGUAAUAGAUAGAUAAUGUACCCCUUAGUCUGGGAUAGCCACUGGAAACGGUGAUUAAUACUGGAUACGCCUUUUUAGCGUAAGCUAAUUUGGGAAAGGUCUUUCGCUAAGGGAUCAGUCUAUCUCCCAUCAGUUAGUUGGUGAGGUAAGAGCUCACCAAGACGAUGACGGGUAGCGGGUUUGAGAGGAUGAUCCGCCACACUGGAACUGAGACACGGUCCAGACUCCUACGGGAGGCAGCAGUGAGGAAUAUUGCACAAUGGGGGGAAACCCUGAUGCAGCAACGCCGCGUGGAGGAUGACGCAUUUCGGUGUGUAAACUCCUUUUAUCAGAGAAGAACAUGACGGUAUCUGAUGAAUAAGCUCCGGCUAACUCCGUGCCAGCAGCCGCGGUAAUACGGAGGGAGCAAGCGUUAUUCGGAAUCACUGGGCGUAAGGACGCGUAGGCGGGUUAGUAAGUCAGGNGUGAAAUCCUACAGCUCACUGUANACUGCNCUUGAACUACUGACCUAAAGUAUGGAAGGGCA
RNAcentral lists this ribosomal RNA (555 nucleotides) under uncultured bacterium. RNAcentral's name for it is "bacterial SSU rRNA". It matches the Rfam family "Bacterial small subunit ribosomal RNA", at positions 76 to 658 of the family's 1533-position model. The record is from RNAcentral.